RNAcentral lists this ribosomal RNA (429 nucleotides) under Pseudomonadota bacterium. RNAcentral's name for it is "Proteobacteria bacterium partial 16S ribosomal RNA". It matches the Rfam family "Bacterial small subunit ribosomal RNA", at positions 355 to 776 of the family's 1533-position model. Lineage: Bacteria; Pseudomonadati; Pseudomonadota. The record is from RNAcentral.
UGGGGAAUAUUGGACAAUGGGCGAAAGCCUGAUCCAGCCAUGCCGCGUGUGUGAAGAAGGUCUUCGGAUUGUAAAGCACUGUAAGUUGGGAGGAAGGGCAGUAAGCGAAUACCUUGCUGUUUUGACGUUACCGACAGAAUAAGCACCGGCUAACUCUGUGCCAGCAGCCGCGGUAAUACAGAGGGUGCAAGCGUUAAGCGGAAUUACUGGGCGUAAAGCGCGCGUAGGGGGUUCGUUAAGUUGAAUGUGAAAGCCCCGGGCUCAACCUGGGAACUGCAUCCAAAACUGGCGAGCUAGAGUAGGGCAGAGGGUGGUAGAAUUUCCUGUGUAGCGGUGAAAUGCGUAGAUAUAGGAAGGAACACCAGUGGCGAAGGCGACCACCUGGGCUCAUACUGACACUGAGGUGCGAAAGCGUGGGGAGCAAACAGG